AUUGAACGCUGGCGGAAUGCUUUACACAUGCAAGUCGAACGGCAGCACGGACUUCGGUCUGGUGGCGAGUGGCGAACGGGUGAGUAAUGUAUCGGAACGUGCCCAGUCGUGGGGGAUAACGUAGUGAAAAUUACGCUAAUACCGCAUACGAUCUAUGGAUGAAAGCGGGGGAUCGCAAGACCUCGCGCGAUUGGAGCGGCCGAUAUCAGAUUAGGUAGUUGGUGGGGAAAAGGCCCACCAAGCCAACGAUCUGUAGCUGGUCUGAGAGGACGACCAGCCACACUGGAACUGAGACACGGUCCAGACUCCUACGGGAGGCAGCAGUAGGGAAUUUUGGACAAUGGGCGAAAGCCUGAUCCAGCCAUUCCGCGUGCAGGAUGAAGGCCCUCGGGUUGUAAACUGCUUUUGUACAGAACGAAAAGGUUUCUACUAAUACUAGGAGCUCAUGACGGUACUGUAAGAAUAAGCACCGGCUAACUACGUGCCAGCAGCCGCCGUAA
Molecule: ribosomal RNA, 500 nt
Filed under: uncultured bacterium
Lineage: Bacteria
Description: partial 16S ribosomal RNA
Rfam family: Bacterial small subunit ribosomal RNA
Source: RNAcentral